GGUCAAGCGAAUAAGCGCACACGGUGGAUGCCUAGGCGGUCAGAGGCGAUGAAGGACGUGGUAGCCUGCGAAAAGUGUCGGGGAGCUGGCAACAAGCUUUGAUCCGGCAAUAUCCGAAUGGGGAAACCCACUGCUUCGGCAGUAUCCUGCAGUGAAUUCAUAGCUGCUGGAAGCGAACCCGGUGAACUGAAAUAUCUAAGUAACCGGAGGAAAAGAAAUCAACCGAGAUUCCCUGAGUAGUGACGAGCGAACGGGGAACAGCCCUUAAGCUGGAAUGGCUUUAGAAAAACAAUCUGGAAAGAUUGGCCAUAGAAGGUGAUAGCCCUGUAUUUAAAAGGGCCACUCCAGUGAAGACGAGUAGGGCGGGGCACGUGAAACCCUGUCUGAAUAUGGGGGGACCAUCCUCCAAGGCUAAAUACUCCUGACCGACCGAUAGUGAACCAGUACCGUGAGGGAAAGGCGAAAAGAACCCCGGAGAGGGGAGUGAAAUAGAUCCUGAAACCGUGUGCGUACAAGCAGUAGGAGCUCGCAAGAGUGACUGCGUACCUUUUGUAUAAUGGGUCAGCGACUUACUGUUCGUGGCAAGCUUAACCGUAUAGGGGAGGCGAAGGGAAACCGAGUCUGAUAAGGGCGCAUAGUCGCGGGCAGUAGACCCGAAACCGGGUGAUCUAGUCAUGGCCAGGGUGAAGGUGCCGUAACAGGUACUGGAGGCCCGAACCCACGUCUGUUGCAAAAGACGGGGAUGAGCUGUGAUUAGGAGUGAAAAGCUAAUCGAACCCGGAGAUAGCUGGUUCUCCUCGAAAGCUAUUUAGGUAGCGCCUCGGACGAAUACUACUGGGGGUAGAGCACUGUUAUGGCUAGGGGGUCAUCGCGACUUACCAAACCAUUGCAAACUCCGAAUACCAGUACGUACUAUCCGGGAGACACACGGCGGGUGCUAACGUCCGUCGUGAAAAGGGAAACAACCCAGACCCACAGCUAAGGUCCCAAAUUCACUGCUAAGUGGAAAACGAUGUGGAAAGGCACAGACAGCCAGGAGGUUGGCUUAGAAGCAGCCACCCUUUAAAGAAAGCGUAAUAGCUCACUGGUCGAGUCGGUCUGCGCGGAAGAUUUAACGGGGCUAAGCAGUGAACCGAAGCUUGGGGUGCAUAAAACUUGUUUUAUGCGCGGUAGAGGAGCGUUCCGUAAGCCUGCGAAGGUGGAUUGAGAAGUCUGCUGGAGGUAUCGGAAGUGCGAAUGCUGACAUGAGUAACGAUAAUGCGGGUGAAAAGCCCGCACGCCGAAAGCCCAAGGUUUCCUUGCGCAACGUUAAUCGACGCAGGGUUAGUCGGUCCCUAAGGCGAGGGCGAAAGCCGUAGUCGAUGGGAAGCAGGUUAAUAUUCCUGCACCUCGCGUGAGUGCGAUGGAGGGACGGAGAAGGUUAGGUGUACCGGGCGUUGGUUGUCCCGGGGAAAGGCGGUAGGUUUGAAUCUUUGGCAAAUCCGGGAUUCUUUAAGACCGAGCACCGAGACGAGCCUUUAUGGCGAAGUCACUGAUACCACGCUUCCAGGAAAAGCUCCUAAGCUUCAGCUCACGAAGACCGUACCGUAAACCGACACAGGUGGGUAGGAUGAGAAUUCUCAGGCGCUUGAGAGAACUCGGGUGAAGGAACUAGGCAACAUGGCACCGUAACUUCGGGAGAAGGUGCACCCUUUUUGGUGGCUCAUGCGAGCUAUAGCUGAAGAGGGUCGCAGAAACCAGGCCGCUGCGACUGUUUAUCAAAAACACAGCACUCUGCAAACACGAAAGUGGACGUAUAGGGUGUGACGCCUGCCCGGUGCUGGAAGGUUAAUUGAUGGGGUCAGCCGCAAGGCGAAGCUCUUGAUCGAAGCCCCAGUAAACGGCGGCCGUAACUAUAACGGUCCUAAGGUAGCGAAAUUCCUUGUCGGGUAAGUUCCGACCUGCACGAAUGGCGUAACGACAGCGGCGCUGUCUCCACCCGAGACUCAGUGAAAUUGAAAUCGCUGUGAAGAUGCAGCGUUCCCGUGGCAAGACGGAAAGACCCCGUGAACCUUUACUAUAGCUUUACACUGAACGUUGAGUUCGUCUGUGUAGGAUAGGUGGGAGGCUAUGAAACUGUGGCGCUAGCUGCAGUGGAGCCAUCCUUGAAAUACCACCCUGUCGUGCUUGACGUUCUAACCUAGGUCCGUUAUCCGGAUCAGGGACCGUGUAUGGUGGGUAGUUUGACUGGGGCGGUCUCCUCCUAAAGAGUAACGGAGGAGCACGAAGGUACGCUCAGCGCGGUCGGACAUCGCGCACUGUGUGCAAAGGCAUAAGCGUGCUUGACUGCAAGAUCGACGGAUCAAGCAGGUACGAAAGUAGGUCUUAGUGAUCCGGUGGUUCUGUAUGGAAGGGCCAUCGCUCAACGGAUAAAAGGUACUCCGGGGAUAACAGGCUGAUACCGCCCAAGAGUUCAUAUCGACGGCGGUGUUUGGCACCUCGAUGUCGGCUCAUCACAUCCUGGGGCUGUAGUCGGUCCCAAGGGUAUGGCUGUUCGCCAUUUAAAGUGGUACGCGAGCUGGGUUCAGAACGUCGUGAGACAGUUCGGUCCCUAUCUGCCAUGGGCGUUGGAAGUUUGAGAGGGGCUGCUCCUAGUACGAGAGGACCGGAGUGGACGAACCUCUGGUGUUCCGGUUGUCACGCCAGUGGCAUUGCCGGGUAGCUAUGUUCGGAAGCGAUAACCGCUGAAAGCAUCUAAGCGGGAAGCGCGCCUCAAGAUGAGACUUCCCGGGGCACAAGCCCCCUAAAGGAACCAUGUAGACUACGUGGUUGAUAGGUCAGGUGUGUAAGUACAGCAAUGUAUUGAGCUAACUGAUACUAAUGAUCCGUGCGGCUUGACCAU
RNAcentral lists this ribosomal RNA (2881 nucleotides) under Xanthomonas campestris. RNAcentral's name for it is "23S ribosomal RNA". It matches the Rfam family "Bacterial large subunit ribosomal RNA". RNAcentral also lists the same sequence under 3 other names. Lineage: Bacteria; Pseudomonadati; Pseudomonadota; Gammaproteobacteria; Lysobacterales; Lysobacteraceae. The record is from RNAcentral.